Penaeus indicus is the source of this 4992-nucleotide long non-coding RNA. RefSeq lists it as uncharacterized. The record is from RefSeq and is a predicted model, not a curated record. NCBI's taxonomy places the organism in Eukaryota, Metazoa, Arthropoda, Malacostraca, Decapoda, Penaeidae. The transcript has 4 exons.
UUCGCCAGCCACGAGUGUCGGCGUGUGUUGCCAAGCGGAAGUCGCCCUUAAGAGCAUGUGGGUUCUUCGCGGGCCUGAAUCUGGGUCAGGAGCGUAAUAUUGGUCACGAGCGCUCGGGGAACCUACAUACACACACACGCACGCGAACACACACACACGCACCUCCUCUCCUCCCCGAGACCAACUCACUGUCACACGUAAACACGAAGCGAGGAGGCGGGUCACUCGGAACAGCUCGGCGCGACGUGGAAGCCGAAGCCGACGCCGCAGACGAAACCGAAGCCAAAGUCGUCUGUGCUGUGAUUGUGGCGACUUUAGGAUGGUGACAUAGUGAUCUCUCUCCGUGGCCUGGAUGGUCUUGCUGCCAAACCAAGUCCUGGGCUUUAGAGCGAAGAGGGAGACGGCAAAGACGGCGAAAAGUCAUCUGCUUCCGCUUUUCCGCAAGGCCCGUGGACAUCUGCUGUGGACUUCGCUGGCCUGUCGUCUGCUGGAGCCACAUAUCCUUUUGCAAGAAUGGACUGCUUAUUUUUUCACGAGAUUUUUUUAAUGAUUAUCGUCGUGAAACUGACAGAAUGUCGCAGAUCAGGCGUCUCGCUGAGGAGGUGAAUCUUUACACAAAGGACUUCUUGUUUUUGUCUGACAACACCAUGUUUUCUUCUGGACUUCAUGAUGCAGGGAAUCAGAGGUCCCUUGACAGAGCUGUGCAUCCUCUAUGGCUCUGCCUCUGCCCCCACGCCUCGGUUGAUUCAGCCAGCGAGGGCCCCGCGUCUUACGAGUGUGGAGGACGAGGGUGACAGGGUAACUGGGGAAAGGUCUUUCUCUCUCUCUCCCUCUCUGUCCUUGUGGUUUCUCGCAAUGGCAUUUCCGCGUGUUGAUAUACCGCAGCUUCUCAUAUGAGUCUAGUUGAUUAUUUUUGACUCGUUUCGUAUGUCUUCCCGAAUUCGACCGGACGAGAGAAGCAUGCUAACAAGGCCUUUUGUUCGAAGGCUGGCGAAUGGUUUAGUGCGUUAUUCAACCGGUUAGAGCUACCCGAAUGGCCGAGACUGAAAAGACGAUUUUGAUCCUGUAUGUACUGGGAUCGUGUCGUCUUUCUUAUCCCUUUUCCCAGCUGGUUCUUAACCGAGGUCUUUUUAAGUCCAUUCCAAGAGGCUUGCCUACCUAAUAACGUCCGACUUACGGGCACCAUUGCCAGUCAAAACAUACGAGCUUAUAACAGAGUUUCUCCUCUGUGUAGAGAGAGCACUUCGGUAUUCAAAUGCACUCUUUUCCACACUCCAUUUAACGAUGAAAAUUCCUAAAAACAACACAUAACCUGAGAAAAUUCUAGUCAAACCGGUAUGAUCUAGGACAAGACGCUCUGCGAUUUGUUUACGUGACUGAAAAGUAAUAGAUAGUGCUGAAGGACGUGUCGGUGCUUCGACAAUUUUACAGUACCUUUGACUUAAGUGACGAGAGAAUUUGCUUUAUAAUACAGCCACUCCUUGUAUUUAUUUUGUACUCAUGUGUCGUACGGUAUUCUAUGUUUAUAAUGGCUCGCUCUCACGUAGCGCACAAAAGAAAUAUUUUUGGAACACAAAAUCCAAGACUCUGAUUAACUAUAAGUUUUCCCACUGUUGACAGCAGCUUUAUUUUCUAAAUCUAUUUAUUGAUUGAUAUGGACGCAUUCUUGGUAGUGCUGACAGAUUUAUUUAUUUUGCUUAUAGUGCAUAGACGUGUUCAGACAUGUUAGAAAUAGAAGUACAAUUUUUCGAUAGAUUAUCCUGUAUGGUAUUUUAUUUUGUUAAAUCAGCAAGCAUUGCAUAUGCUACUUGAAGAGAUAACAAUUCGCUUCGGGUUAUGGUUGUUAUGAUAAAAUUUAGUGCUAGGAUAUUUUAUUUGUUUGUUUCUGUUUAGAACUUUCUCCCUGACGUUCAACUCAGUACAAAACGACUUUCCUAACGACUGUAGGGUGUGACCUCAUUACCGUGACUCACCAGCUCAUUAAGGACUGACUUCCGGUCGUCAAGCAAUUAGAAAUGCGAGGGAUAAUUAACCUAAUGAACAACAUUGCUGACGACCGUUCAAUAGGUGACAGCGUGACGCGGUUUAACAUUAGACUGACUGCGACAUUUUAUUGCUGAUAAAGAUAAGAUAAUUUCCUUACUUUGAGACUUAAUGGUGACAAUCGAUACACACAACAGUGUUAGUGACGUUCUCUCGUAUGACAUGACUGACUUCGUUACAGGACUUGGCACCAGUUUUUCAAAAAGCCUUUUAUUUGACAAUUUCGGGAACGAUAUAACUAUUUAUGACAUCACAUUAUAACUUGAUAAUGACUGACAAAACUUUAUAUCAAGAGCGACAAUAUAGUUACGGUUAUGAUAGUGACAAACUUGAAUAGGACUUGAUAACGACACUUUACGAGACAGUGACCUGACGGUGACAUCUCUCUUGCUUCUUAUAACUGACAUUUCGAGUUAAGCCUUUUGAUGGCGACAGCUGACGUGGGUCGAUAGUAACGACUUACAAAACCUAAGAUAUUCUGACGAAAGACCCAGCACUUUGAUAACAAGAGCCUCGCAAUUCUUUUGACAGUGACAGUGAAAGAAGACUUGAAAACGACGUUUGACAGUGACGUCGUUUUAGCAAGACCUAAAAUACGUUAGGAUAUGACAUCUCACCAGACUUGACAGCCCCAAUUUUAAUUCUACAGACGAUAACGACAGAUUAGAGAAGAACUUUGUGACUUUGGUGGUAACAGACUAACAGAUUCAACUGCGACACACCCAUCACGAGAAAGUUAUCUGGCCCAAAUUACUCCAUCAGCGUCUCAAACUUUCUAACCAAUGACUUCUAAUUGUAAUGUUGAUGAUGAUGACGAAGAUGGCGAGCAAAUUGCAGACGAUAAUGACAUCAUUCAAUUCAGCUAGUGGUGAUAUGAUAGUUAGGACGGCCUCGUAACGGACCCACUGACGGUGACAAAUAGCUCUCACGUUCAUGACUGUGACAACCCAAUUUCAGACUGAAUGUUGAUAAUUGGCGAUGACUGCCUUAGUCUGUAAAGUGACAACGCGUCUUAAUUUCUGAUAAUUACUUUACCCCUCACAGGUUUAAUGACCUUGAUGACUCCAUACGAACGGACAAGACUUAUAAGAUUGUAACUCUACUGAACUCUAACAUCCCUAACUCAUGACGUUUUGAUAUGGAUGACAAGGUGACUAGUGACUAACUGCCUUCAUUCUAGUAACGUCUCAUCAAACAUUACUCAUGGACAGUUCAUCAUCAUCCUCCCAUGACAUUAUUAUCAGCUUCAGUAUCUAAACCAUUAGAUUACGGUCACAAAAAUAAUAAUAAAAAUAAAAUAGGUAAACAGACGAAACACGACAAGACCAUCGUAAUUUUAAAUGUCAAAAUACCAUCAAAAAUAUGAGAUGGCAGCUCGACGUUCGAUUUAUAGAGAAAGGGGCUAUUAAGCACUUUUGCUAGAGAAAAAAUAUCUAUUUUUUUAAUUUAAUAUUUUUUAAUGACCGGCGAUAACGUUCUUCAAUAAAUAACGUUCAUUCGACAGACAGUUGAGACAAAACUCAAUUUUUUUUUUGAAGACUCAUCAUCAGAUCAGAUGUGUGACAGUGAUAGACAAUUUGACACCUGACAGUGAAUUUGACAAAUGACAACACGGUCAUGUAAACCUAUUUGGCUUAUACAUACAUACAUAUAUAUAUAUAUAUAUAUAUAUAUAUAUAUAUAUAUAUAUAUAUAUAUAUAUAUAUAUAUAUAUAUUUAUAUGCUUUAUUUAAGCAACUACCAAUCAACAAACUGGUGAUAGUUCCAUUCAGCUUCGUGAUGGUGACAAAAGGCUGGACCAUCAGACUACUAACUGUGACGUCUUUUCUUACAGUGUCAUGACAGACCUGAUAGUGAUAUUUUGUUCAUAGACUUAGUAGUGACUGAUUCUAAAGACACGUUUAGAUUAUUACUAGUGACACUUACUUAAGACCUGAGACUGUAAAACUAGUGGUUUGCAAAUCGGUCACUAUUAAACUGCCAAUUAUGACAAAAACUUAUGGACUUCCAGUUCACUACCAGCUAGACGGGUAAUCUACAACACGCCUAGUAAGAGCUCGCAGCACAUUAAUUCAAAUAGCUUUUCAGUGAGUAUUCAUUCGAGAGGGGAUAAGUUGUGUUGAAUUGGAGGACUUCUAGAUGUGCUAAUAUUAAUGCCAGGCUUGUUUUAUUUAAUACGAAAGGUAAAAAAUGACGGUUAUUAAUAACGAUUUACUGUCUCAAAAUAUGAAACUGACUUCAUAGUGGCAGUAGUAUCCUAUUUUACUUCUAUAGUGACACUUGACUAUAUGACUACGCAGUGACAGAAGAUACGGUGACUAUUUGACUUUAGGGUAAAAAAUACUGACACUGAUUUACAAUCGCCACAUGAUUACUUACAGGGACUUUGCAACCAGACUGUUGUGACAGCCAUUGUGACAAAUAUUUAUAGACGAAAUCUUAAAUUAUCAUAAUGACAAUUAAUUUUCAAGUAACAAACUGGAAAAAGGUGACAAUAGGACACUGACAGACUAGUGACAGAUUCAUUUCAAUUUUUUAGCGACACUGAGACUUCAUCUCUUGACAGGUGACAGCCAACGACUGCCUGGUAUUUAACAAACAGUGGACAUGACCAAAGUUGCUUCACACUGACCUAACAAGUCACUGCCACGACUCAUUUGCUAAGAUCUCAGGGAACUUGGCAACUACAAUUACCAUGUCGACCGUUAAUUACCAUAAUUUUUAACUAAUAUGAUCACUAAUUACCAUGGCCAUUUAUUACCAUUACAACUACACAAGACUUGACACCCACUGACACUUCCGACUUGAACACCUGGUACCUGGUUUGACACCUGACUUAACAGCCCACUUGAAACAUGACUUUUUUCUAGCCACAUGACCAGUCGCUUGUUCAACAACUUGACAGCUUGUUAUAUUGACCAACUAAAACUCGACAGCUUACCAGCUAGA